Molecule: non-coding RNA, 1521 nt
Organism: Pimephales promelas (fathead minnow)
Lineage: Eukaryota; Metazoa; Chordata; Actinopteri; Cypriniformes; Leuciscidae
Source: RefSeq, a predicted model, not a curated record
UCUUCAGUGUUGAAAUCCUGGUGUUAAAGUCUCUUAGAGUAAAGUGUUAAUUUUCUGGUGUUGAAUCUCAAGGGAUUAACACUAGCUAGUGUAAACCACACUCUGGCUGGUGAAAAUAUGUGGAGUUAAAUCUAAGUAGCACCUGAGAAUGCUUUGACAACACCAAUAAUAGUGUUACUAGUCACAUCCGGGACAUUUACGUGCUGGGCGGAACGAAACGAGCUGAAACUUUACUCACAGACGCCAUUUUCUUUGACUCGAGUCGCAAGGCAUACGAGGAGGAAACACGCAUUUAUUACGUGUUUUAUCGCAUUUAUAGAUUCAUUUUAUAACAUCAUAUUGUUUUAUAACAAUAUGUAUGUUCUGUGGACGAGCAAACCGCUCUCAGAGGGACAUUUUCUAUGACGCGCGAUUCGGGGCAGACCAGGAUGGGUUUGCUUUUUAACCGGGAAACAACGAAAGCGACAUCAUCUUUGACUAGCCUAUAUACGGAGCUGACGAGGAGGAGGCUUAACGUUAACAGGGAAAACACCUACAGUCCUGCAUCUUUGACUCGUGACGCAUUUCAAAAAGCAGUGCAGAAUGCAGACACGGAGUUUGCUUUUAACAGUGAAAACACCGAGUAGCUAGACCAACUCCACAAACUGCGGACCAACAAUGCACGUGAAAUUUUCACUUUAUUUCCUUAUUUGGAGGACCAAUCUUCUUAGAAUGGGAGCAAUUCUAUGAUGCACCAAGUGGCUAAGGGUACCAGGCUUGGUGUUUAAAGACUGUACAGACUAGAACCUGGUGAUGGAAAGAUAACAGAUAAGUUAACAUAUGAGAGAAUCAUGGGCACAAACAAAAAUAAUCAUGGCUUGGUAUUACUAGAUUUUUUGAUUAUAUAGAGUUUGAUUAUAUAACUAGAUUAAUAUAGACACAUAUUUUGAAUUUGUCUAGUCAAAUUACUUAACAAAAGUGUGUGUGUGUAUAUAUAUAUAUAAACUUAAAAUUAGAUUUCUAAUCAAUGGUUUUCUUGAUUUGACAAGUAGAAAUCUCUGCCCAUCACCUGCCCCCAACAUUACAAAGCCACAAGAAGAGAACACCGAUCCUUCCAGAAUCCGGCGGCUGACUAUUUAGUGAGAUUUCUUAAGGUACCCAGUACUACACGAUUUUUCACUAAAGUUGGAUCUGCACAGCCUUUUCUGCUCUGUGAAACAACUGCACUGAACUUUACUGUUAGCGACUGGAUACAGCUGAUCCACUCAUAUCCUGCUACUGUUUUUCAUCUGCUGAAUGUUUUUGACUCAAGCACUGCUGUACUGUUGCAAAGUCAAAGGUACUGAAUUAACUUCACUGACACAGGACUCACAUUCACUGAUAUGUUCAGGACUUAAGUAUUAAACACCAUUUGAUCACAUCAUAUAAUUCUGAUGACAGAAAUCCAUAUAUUGUGCAUUCAUCGUUUAUUUAAAAAAUUAACCUAUAAUGUAAACGUGCUUGUUCGUUAAUAAAAAAAAUAGUUUGUUUGAAACAACUGUU